UGUGUGUGAGUUGGAUAUGGGGGUCUGCCGUUGACUUGUUCACGGCUCCUCCCAAAUGUGUUAGCUGUUUGGUGAUGAACCACUGUUGGCUUGAUAUCAUGUCUCUGCCGCGGUUGUACAUGUGCCAUUGCUCAUAAUUGUCUUCGGACAACUUUCUGACCUCGGGCCUCAAAUCAGGUAGGAUUACCCGCUGAACUUAA
RNAcentral lists this unclassified non-coding RNA (200 nucleotides) under soil metagenome. Its description in RNAcentral is "partial contains internal transcribed spacer 2 and large subunit ribosomal RNA". The record is from RNAcentral.